UACGUAGGGGGCAAGCGUUGUCCGGAUUUAUUGGGCGUAAAGAGCGUGUAGGCGGCUUCUUAAGUCAGGGGUGAAAUCCUGGAGCUCAACUCCAGAACUGCCUUUGAUACUGAGAAGCUUGAGUCCGGGAGAGGUGAGUGGAACUGCGAGUGUAGAGGUGAAAUUCGUAGAUAUUCGCAAGAACACCAGUGGCGAAGGCGGCUCACUGGCCCGGUACUGACGCUGAGGUGCGAAAGCGUGGGGAGCAAACAGG
This 253-nucleotide ribosomal RNA is filed under the name uncultured bacterium. RNAcentral's name for it is "partial 16S ribosomal RNA". It matches the Rfam family "Bacterial small subunit ribosomal RNA", at positions 524 to 776 of the family's 1533-position model. The record is from RNAcentral.